RNAcentral lists this transfer RNA (73 nucleotides) under Stegodyphus mimosarum. It matches the Rfam family "tRNA". Rfam says of the family: Transfer RNA (tRNA) molecules are approximately 80 nucleotides in length. The record is from Rfam by way of RNAcentral. Lineage: Eukaryota; Metazoa; Arthropoda; Arachnida; Araneae; Eresidae.
GCUUUCGCGGUGUAGUGGUCAGCACGCUCGACGCGCAACCGAGAGGUCCGUGGUUCAAUUCCCGGAGAAGGCG